AUGCACUUCUCCCAAACCCCGAAAAUUCUCUUGUCCCAAAUCGAACAUCAUGCAAGCAUGUCGCCUCUCGUUGUGGUGAUUCUUCCAUGCUUCCGUCCUCUACAAAAUUGCUUGGUGGCAGGAGUUUUAUGUUUUUCACACAAUCGAGUUGAGGAGGGAUCGAGAGAAAGCCACAUGAAUUGUCUUGAAGGUGCAUGGGACGAACAAAGGGGGAUAACAACACAUGUUGUCGUCAACACUCUCAUAUUGCACCAUCUGCAAAAUUACUACCAGUUCAGUGGAUUGUUACCAGUUCAACAACUACUUUAA
RNAcentral lists this ribosomal RNA (309 nucleotides) under Triticum aestivum (bread wheat). RNAcentral's name for it is "partial small subunit ribosomal RNA". The record is from RNAcentral. Lineage: Eukaryota; Viridiplantae; Streptophyta; Magnoliopsida; Poales; Poaceae.